Molecule: long non-coding RNA, 2035 nt
Organism: Passer domesticus (house sparrow)
Lineage: Eukaryota; Metazoa; Chordata; Aves; Passeriformes; Passeridae
Exons: 5
Source: RefSeq, a predicted model, not a curated record
GGGACCGGCCCGCCUCGCCGCUCCGGGACACCGGCUGGGAGGCUGACUUAACUUUAAUAGUGUACUACUAAGGUUAAAGCUGGUUCUGAAUCCUGAGGAUGUGUCCAGGCUGAACACUGCUUCUUUGGGAGGUCUGAAGAAAAUUCAGGAGCAAGACACAGCCAUGUGUUGUAGCCAUGGGAUGAUCACAAUGUUCAAGGUUAAGCAGCUCUCAUGUGUCUUCAGUCCAACAGCACUUGGAGGAUGGAUAUUCCAUGGGAUCCCUGAGCACAGUGGAGUCUCUUUGGUGGAGAGACAGAAAGAGAAAUGAGAUUAUGAAGAAUUCCUGUUCUCAUUUGAUAGAAGAUAAACUGAACACCAGGCUCACAAACCAUGACUUCUACAGCACUUCACUCUAACAAACUAAAAAUGGAGCUGCAUCCCUCUCUCUACAAGGCCUUUUAAGGAUAAACUGUCCAAUUAAGAAAUGACACCUAAAUUAUUUUUACUUUUAGUCCAAUAACCCAUGGCCUGCAAUGCAGACUUUUUUAUCCAAUUGGAUAUAUGGAUAAAAAUGGAUCUAUACAUAUACCACCCAAAGCCAUGAAGAAGGUGUAGAAGAAGGACCAGCCACCACCCUAAAAUCUCCAUCAUGCUAUAUAAAUAUUACUAUAUUCCAAAACCUUAAACUCUAAGUUUUCCACAAUGUGAUAAUACACACCUCUAUUCAAACUACACACCCAUAAUCCCAGUUCUGUUAUUCCAUUUUGGAAUCCUUCUCCACGGCCUCAGCUUAAAAGCAGUGUUCUCUUGGGGGUCAGUGCCUGACAGCACAGAAAGUCUAAAAUUCUCAGUAACCAGGGUUCCAGCACAGGGGGAAAACAGACAGAGAACACUUGUUUUCUGCACAAACCCUAAGGAGGGCCAUGAUGAGCAUUUCAUCCAAGCCCAAGGGAAAUCAGGUUUCUGAGAGCUGUUUUUCCUCGACAGCAGGUUGAUGCAGGCUGGCCUGUGCAUAGCCCAUCCACAGCUGCUGGGUGCUGCUGCUCUCUUGGCACUGCCAUUUUCUGUCCCUGCCACAUGUGAUGGAUAAUCUGUCAUGCCAAGCUUUGUUUCCUGCACCUGCCUCCCUCUUUAAUAUCCAAUGUCUCUUGAGUCCAGGAGCUUCAUAUCAAACUAGCCAAAAUUUCCAGGACUUCAGAAUUUGAAUUCCUGUAGUGUCAACAAAAAUAAAUCAACAUAAUAGGCUCCAUAAAUGAAAAUAUUUUCAUAUUUUCAGUGUAUCUGAUGAACAAGACUGGUCCUGUGUAGUGCAGGUCACAGCACCCGUUGAGUACCAAGAUCAGUAACCCAGUUCCUCCUGACUGAGAAAGUAAUCAGCUUUGCUCUUGCCAACAGUGGUUUCAGAAGCAUGCAAGUGCACUGAAAUAUAUACCUCCUCUGGGGAGAGAAGAGAGUUUUAAACUGGAGAGGACUGGAAAUCUGGAGCUUGAGUAAGGCUAAUCUAUAGCACUUCCAGAUUCUGUCUGUAUUUUUCUCCAGAUGUCUGCCGCUAUCCAGGUUAUUCUGGCACAUUUGAGCUGGAAAAUAUUGUGAAAUUUAAAGACUAUUGUUUAAAAUUAAAAUUAUGCAAAUGAGAGAAGGCAUGGAUAGUGCCUGAAACUAGGGCCAGUGCCUGGAAAGAGCAGGCACUGGGAAAACCACCAUCUGCACAGCCUGAAGAAUAAUAGCACUGAAAUGCUGAUCUAUGGAUUGGUGUUUCUAUCUGCUGUGGCUUCCAGCAAGCUUUCAUUGAAUUUUUCACUGCGGCUGAUACCUAUUGUCCUGUAUGCUCUAAAAAUGCCAGUGAUUGAGCAGGAUAAAUUUUUGUUUUGGCACUAAAAUACACAGAAAAUUAAAGAGAAUCAUGCUGCCACCACCAUUCAAGUGCAGUUCUGUGUUUCUCUAACAUAUAAAUGUUUGCAUUUCUUAAGUUUGUCAAUUUCAAACUGACCAAUUUCAAGAACUAAGGAACUUCAUAUCUGUUCAUAUCUUUUCUUGUAAAAGCAAAAUUAAG